RNAcentral lists this ribosomal RNA (458 nucleotides) under uncultured bacterium. RNAcentral's name for it is "partial 16S ribosomal RNA". It matches the Rfam family "Bacterial small subunit ribosomal RNA", at positions 338 to 795 of the family's 1533-position model. The record is from RNAcentral.
CCUACGGGUGGCAGCAGUGAGGAAUAUUGGUCAAUGGGCGAGAGCCUGAACCAGCCAAGUCGCGUGAGGGAGUACUGCCCUAUGGGUUGUAAACCUCUUUUGUCGGGGAGCAAAAGCCGGACGUGUCCGGCUGUGAGAGUACCCGAAGAAAAAGCAUCGGCUAACUACGUGCCAGCAGCCGCGGUAAUACGGAGGAUGCGAGCGUUAUCCGGUUUUAUUGGGUGUAAAGGGUGCGCAGGCGGAUUUUUAAGUCAGCGGUAAAAUCGUGGGGCUCAACCCCAUCCAGCCGUUGAAACUGGGGAUCUAGAGUGUGCGGAAGGGAUGCGGAAUGCGUGGUGUAGCGGUGAAAUGCAUAGAUAUCACGCAGAACCCCGAUUGCGAAGGCAGCAUACCGGUGCACAACUGACGCUCAGGCACGAAAGCGUGGGUAUCGAACAGGAUUAGAUACCCUUGUAGUC